This 778-nucleotide long non-coding RNA is filed under the name Prunus persica (peach). RNAcentral describes it as "long non-coding RNA (PPER_LNC000896)". The record is from RNAcentral. Lineage: Eukaryota; Viridiplantae; Streptophyta; Magnoliopsida; Rosales; Rosaceae.
CCCUUUGUGUGUAGCUGGCGAUGAGCAAGGCAAAGCGAAGUGGAACUCUAAGGAAGAGUCCUGCCAAUUGAAAGUCUUAAGGUUCUCUUUGGUUAUUGACCUUGGGAAGUUUCAGCAAACAAAUGAUAACAAGGGGAUUUGUGGCUCCACAUCACUUGCAAAGAAAAAUCCCAGAGUCACCCAAUUAACAAGAAGAUCUUCUGUUGCUGCCCAUGCAAAAGCCAAGUUAGUUCAAUAAAUAAAAAUAAAAAAGAACUAAAGAAAGAAAAUAAGAGGAUGAUGCAUGAGAAUGCUAUCACGUGGAGGACAAAAUAAGAGAAUGAAUUCUCUCUAAUUGGCAGCAGAGGUCAAGCAAAGUCUAUGGUUUGAUAAAGAAGAGUUCUUUGGCUUAGUUUACUGUGGUGCGAAUGUAAAAAAGACGCAUAAUCCUAUUCGGAAAAGGGCCUAUUCUUCUUGUGCAUUUUUUGUUUAGUUGCAAAGAGACAAAACAAAAGGAAGGCAGCCAAAAGAAAAAAAAAUAAAAAAAGGGCUGUGUCAGACAGCCCCUCCCUCUCUUGAAUGAUUCUCUUGGUCUACUUUGACUGAAAAUUGAGUAAAGGAAAAGAGAUUGGCAGUAAGGAAAUGAUUGCUACAGUAGACGAAAAGAAAAGAAAAUUAGGCUAACCAAAUACUCAACCUUGUUGUAAAGUAUAAAGUAGUGGAGCCCACUUACUAUUUGUUUGUAGACUUUGGUGCAUGAUUGUAUUGUAGAUUCACAGGUGGAUUGUAGAUUCACGGG